GAUGAACGCUAGCGGCAGGCUUAAUACAUGCAAGUUGAGGGGCAGCAUGAUAUACGCGAGUAUAUUGAUGGCGACCGGCGGACGGGUGAGUAAUAGGUAGGAGACCUACCUCAUACAGGGGAAUAGCAUAGAGAAAUCUGUGGUAAUACCCCAUGAGGUUAUAUGAAUAGAGGCAUAUAAUCAAAGCAUAAGCGAUUAUGCGGUAUGAGAGGGGCCUACUGACCAUUAGCUAGUUGGUGAGGUAAGGGCUCACCAAGGCGAAAGAUGGUUAGGGGUUUUGAGAGAGAGACCCCCCACAUUGGAACUGAGAGACGGUCCAGACUCCUACGGGAGGCAGCAGUAGGGAAUAUUGGGCAAUGGGCGAAAGCCUGACCCAGCCAUGCCGCGUGAAGGAAGACGGCCUUAUGGGUUGUAAACUUCUUUACUACGCGAAUAGAGGUUAGUACGAGAUACUAAUAGGAAGGUAGUGUAGUAAAAAGCAACCGGCUAAACUCCGUG
Molecule: ribosomal RNA, 498 nt
Filed under: uncultured bacterium
Lineage: Bacteria
Description: bacterial SSU rRNA
Rfam family: Bacterial small subunit ribosomal RNA
Source: RNAcentral